UGCAAAUGGUUAAUUUCCCAUUUGGUGAUAGCAGAGUCCAUUAGUUUUCCAGAAUGAUGUACUUUACUCUUCAUAACUGAACGAGUAUGAACAGUCUAAGGGCCAACAUCAGCAGCAAAGCAAGAAGGAAGAAUCGAGAAGCUACCGUUCUAACCAAAAUCAAAAAACCUAAAACUAAAACAUAACAUUUUGUAUUUAUAUUAAACCCACACACCAUACCUAUUUCACUUAACCCGAAUCCGUGUAACAAAUCCAACUAACCCAUAAAACCAUAUUGUACAGCUGUAAUUCUGUUACAUGAGAUAGUAUACAAUACAUUAGGUUCUAGAGUAAAGAAAGAUAGCACACUUGUAAAUAUAAAUAGCACCCAUUGUACAGACUUUGAUGAUAGAGGAGAAAUACACUAAUUCUUCAUUUUGUUUACUUUCUGUUCAUGGUAUCAGAGCCUCCUCUGAUAUCUGAAGUUCUAAAGCUUUCUUCAAGCUUCCUUUCCUGAAAUUAAUGGCAGAAACUUAUAAUCAAAACAAUGAAAACACAAAUGUUGAAUCAGAGACUUAUAAGGUUUCUGCAUCUGAAAAUUCAGCUUCAAACCUCAUUAAUAUUUCCUUGAAUGGCCGGAAUUUCUUGUCAUGGAGCAGAUCUAUGACCAUAGCCUUGAAGGCUAGGGACAAAUAUGAAUUUGUCACUGGUGAAGAACAGGAACCUGCAGCUAGAUCUCCAUUGAGAAAGAGAUGGCAGAGGAUCGAUAAUCUGGUAACAUCUUGGAUCUUGAACUCUAUUUCUAAAGAUCUAGUUGAGGCAUUUUUGUAUUAUCCAAGUUCCAAGGAUCUUUGGAAUGAACUGACCACCAGGUAUGGUGAAUCUAAUGGACCUAUAAUUUACCAAAUAAGGAAAGAUAUUUCAGUAACUACCCAAGGUAACCAAACAGUAGCCAAUUACUACACUAAAUUGAAAAAACUUUGGGAUGAGUUGGCUUGUUUAAGGCCCAUUCCCAAAUGCACCUGUGGAAUUGCAGAAAGGUGUACCUGUGAUGUUGUGAGAGCAGCCUCAGAUCUGGAUGGAGAGGAGAAACUUAUGCAGUUCCUCUUAGGACUGAAUGAUACAUAUGACAAUGUUAAAAAUCAAAUUCUGCUUAUGGUUCCAUUUCCAAGCAUGAGCAAGGCCUAUUCAAUGGUACUAAGUGUUGAAAAACAAAGUGAGGUGAAUACUGCAAUCUAUGACUCAAGUGAGAAUAGCAGUGCAAUGUAUGUGCAAAAAUCAAACUACAACAGCAGAAAUACAAGUAAUAGAUCCAGAUCUAAAGCUGACAAGCACUGUGAUCACUACAAUGGGACUGGCCGCACUAAAGAGACUUGUUGUAAACUAACUGGUUAUCCAGACUGAUUUAUUGAACUCAAAAAGAAGAAGAAAGCUCAAGCACAUUAUGGACAAGUAGAUGAUGAACAAUUGACUGUUAACUCAAGAGACAAUGAGAAUGAUGUAUCCAGAAUGGUGAGAAUGGAGGUCCAGCGUGCAAUCAAAGGCAAGCUGCAGUAUGAUGAUAAGGCAGGGGAUCCACCUACAGCUAAUGCAGUCAGUUUUGCAGGUAUUAUCUUUCAUUUCAUUAUAAUGUGCAUGAUAAGUAUGAAUUAGUUCCAUGGAUUGUUGACACUGGUGCAACUGAUCAUAUGACAUACAUGCAUAAUCUGUUUCAUACAUUAACCAAAUUACCUAAACCUAGAACAGUAACUCUACCUGAUAAUUCCACCAGAACUAUAACGCAUGUUGGCAAGGUCAUAAUACAUGAUAGACCGGUAUUAAAGGACGUGUUAUAUAUACCAACAUUCAAAUGCAAUUUAUUAUCUGCAUCANNNNNNNNNNNNNNNNNNNNNNNNNNNNNNNNNNNNNNNNNNNNNNNNNNNNNNNNNNNCUAUUGGCAAGUUGAAUGGAGGCUUAUAUUUUCUUGAUAAGAAGUGUUUUGUACCUAUUACUACUACUAAAGCUUUACUUACUUGUACUAAACAUGAUGAUCAUUUGAACCUGUUAUGGCACCUUAGAUUGGGUCAUAUUUCUAUGGCUAGACAAAAUCAUGUAAUAAAUUUAGAUACAAACAGUGGUUCUUUUGAAUGUAAUGUUUGCCCUCUUGCAAAGCAAUAAAGAUUGCCAUUUUAUCCAAGUUGUAAUAUUGCUAAAGGCAUGUUUGAUUUAAUACAUAUUGACCUAUGGGGACCCUAUCCUAUCACUUCUUUAACUGGUGACAGAUACAUGAUUACUAUAGUGGAUGACUAUAGUAGAUACACAUGGGCCUACAUGUUACCAAAUAAACAACAAGUCCAUUCAAUUCUUGACCACUUUACUAACCUAAUAGACACCCAGUUUCAUACCAGAAUCAAAACAAUAAGGACUGAUAAUGGCACUGAGUUUGUGAAUCAUGUAGUAAAGACAUUGUUCCUUUCUAAAGGAAUUACACAUAAACUAUCUUGCCCUUAUUCUCCACAGCAAAAUGGGAGAGUGGAGAGAAAACAUAAAGAAAUUUUGAACAUUGGGAGAGCCCUUCUAUUUCAAGCUAAGUUUCCUAAGACCUUUUGGUCUGAGGUUCUCCUAUCUAAUGUUUACGUAACCAAUAGAGUGCCAUCCGCACUCUUAGAAUGGUUAAGCCCUUUUGAAAACCUAAACCAAAUACAACCAGACCUGAAACACUUAAGAGUUAUUGGCUGCCUGUGUUUUGCAACCAAUACUAAACCACACAAAGACAAGUAUGAUCCUAGAGCUAAACCAUGUGUGUUACUGGGUUAUGGGGCUCAACAGAAAGGUUACAAGCUAUAUGACAUGCACUCUAAGCAGAUUUUCUACUCAAGGGACGUUGUGUUCAAGGAAACAGUUUACCCCUUCCAUCACAACACCCCUCUUGAGUCAUGUACAUUUAAGAUACCAGACUUUUUAGAUGACAAUGACCAACAAAUUCCAAAACACACAAACACUAUACCUGAAACCACAAUACCAGCAACAUAUGAAAAUAUGACUACCCUUGACCAAACAAGACAAAUGACUACAACAACACCUGAACCAGAACACCAACAAUACAUACAAAAUAACCAGACAGAAACUGCUCAGACUUUACAACCAGAACAACCAGUUCAACCACUUAGAAGAAGCAUAAGAAAUUCAAGGCAACCAGCUUGGAUGACAGAUUAUGUAACCAAUUGUGCAAAUUCAAAUUCCACACAUUUCCUACCCGACUCACCCUAUUCACAUCCAUAUGCAUCUUUUGCAUCUAAUGUCAACAAAAUUCAUGAACCAUUAUCAUAUAAUCAUGCUAUUUCUAAUGAAAAUUGGGUGCAAGCAAUGCAAACUAAACUAAAAGCUUUAGAAGACAAUGGUACUUGGGUCUUAACUAAGUUACCUAAAGGGAAAAGGGCCAUUGGAUGCAAAUGGGUCUACAGAGUCAAAUACAAAUAGGAUGGGACUGUAGACAGGUAUAAGGCUCGCCUGGUUGCUAAAGGGUUUAGUCAAAAACUGGGCAUUGAUUACAAUGACAGCUUUUCUCCUGUUGCUAAAAUGGUGACUCUGAGGAUCCUGUUUGCCCUAGUAGCUAAAUAUCAAUCGACUCUUCAUCAACUUGAUAUUAACAAUGCCUACCUACAUGGCAAUAUUGAUGAAGAUAUCUACAUGCAACCUCCAGCUGGCUAUUCUAAGGCUUCUACAGGCCAAGCGUGCAAAUUGACUAAGUCACUUUAUGGACUUAAGCAAGCUGGCAGAAUGUGGAACCAGGAGUUGACAAACACAUUGCUCUAGUACGGAUUUCAGUAGUCAGUGAAUGACCACUGCCUAUUCACAAAAAGGGAAGAUAGUGACUUUCUAGUGCUUAUUGUCUAUGUGGAUGACAUUUUAGUUGCUGGGCCUAACAUUCAACUUGUAUGCAACAUUAAGGAGUUUCUACACUCUAAAUUUACUAUAAAGGACCUAGGUGAUGCAAGAUUUUUCUUGGGAAUUGAAAUCCUACGGUCUAUUGAUGGCAUCUACUUAUCACAGUAGAAAUUCAUUCAAGACAUGCUGUUAGAUUCAAACAUGCGGCAAGCAAAACAUUCAUCCACGCCAUUAGUACAAGGUCAAAAGCUUCAAGCAAACAUGGGACCAUUACUCACAGAACCAGACUGUUACAGAAGGUUAGUGGGGAGACUACUUUACCUGAGCUUCACCAGACCAGACAUCACUUACUCAGUACGGCAGUUGUCUCAACACAUGCAAAACCCUUGUCAGGGUCACAUGGUAACUGCUUCUCAUGUUCUCCAUUACUUAGCCUCCACAACAGCUUUGAAAUUGUUCUUCUCUACUUCAUAUACGCUUGAUCUUCAAGCAUACUAUGAUGCUGGCUGGGGGGCUUGCCCUGAAACUUGACUGUCACUCACAGGCUACUGUAUAUUCAUGGGUUCCUCGAUCGUGUCAUGGAAAAUAAAAAAACAACAGGUGGUCAGUUGCUCUUCUGCUGAAGCAGAAUACAGAGCCAUGGCUAAUAUAGUGUCCGAAAUCAUUUGGAUUGACAAAAUACUAAUAGAUCUGCGGGUAAAAGUAAAAACGCCAGUACCUUUAUUCUGCGACAACCAAGCGGUGCUGCACAUUGCCGCCAAUCCUGUUUAUCACGAGCGCACAAAGCAUAUCGACAUCGCCUGCCAUCUCACUCGACCCUAUAUUCAAGCUGGCCUUAUCGACCCAAAGCAUCUCCCUUCAGAGUCACAACUCGCUAACUUCUUCACCAAAUUGUUACCCAUCUCUAGAUUUCGGCUGAUGACUGUCAAGUUGGGCUUGGUUUCGUUACCCCAGCUCCACCUUGAGGGGGGCGUGAAUGAGUAUGAACAGCCUAAGGGCCAACAUCAGUAGUAAAGCAAAAAGGAAGAAUCGAGAAGCUGCCGUUCUAACCAAAAUCAGAAAACCUAAAACUAAAACAUAACAUUUUGUAUUUAUAUUAAACCCACACACCAUACCUGUUUCACUUAACCCGAAUCCGUGUAACAAAUCCAACUAACCCAUUAACCCAUAUUGUACAGCUGUAAUUCUGUUACAUGAGAUAGUAUACAAUACAAUAGGUUCUAGAGUAAGGAAAUACAUCACACUUGUAAAUAUAAAUAGCACCCAUUGUACUGACUUUGAUGAUAGAGGAGAAAUACACAAAUUCUUCAUUUUGUUUACUUUCUGUUCAAUAACCAUCUAACUAAUGCCUGAUUACCCACUAAAAAGAUGUAGAAAAUGAUUUUAAUUGCAUUUGAAUCAAAAUAUAGGAGACUAGCAGCAUGCCUAUGCAUAAUAAAUAUCUUAUCUAUUAUCUUAGAGAUAGUGUAAUAAUAUUUUAAAAUAUAUAAUUUAAAUUAUUGAUAAUUUCAUAUUUGUUAAUUUUGUUGAAA
This 5378-nucleotide long non-coding RNA is filed under the name Jatropha curcas. Its description in RNAcentral is "long non-coding RNA (JCUR_LNC000716)". Lineage: Eukaryota; Viridiplantae; Streptophyta; Magnoliopsida; Malpighiales; Euphorbiaceae. The record is from RNAcentral.